UUUUUAUGAGCUGUCAGGUUCGGUGUUCGCAUACAGUACUGUACAACACAAAAUCACUGCAAAAUAACUGUUCAUUCGCAGUUUAUCAGUAAUGACCAGUACUAUCAGUUGUUUAAACACAUAUUACUCCUCCCCUUCUUGGCAACGUAUUGCACAUUGGGUAAAAAGUGAAAGCAAAACUUAAAUGGAGCAAUGCAGCACCGUGGCCAUACAUGUACUAACAAAGCUAAAGGUUCUUUGUUUUUAUGAAUUUCAACAAGAUUAUCCAAUGGAUUUUAAAUGAAGAGAUGAUUUAUUCAUGCACUAUAUGAUGUUCCUUUUCUAAGUCUUACUGGGACCAGGGAUCAAGACUCCAAGCCUCACUCUCUGAAGAACAGUAUGUCAAACUUACACAUUACCUUAUAACAGCUCUCUCGUUAUAUGACAUUAUUAUGUAACCUACAAAAUGUCCCUAUAAAAAUAAUUAUGGGAGGUCUGAUCGAGAAUUCUUUGUGAAAGAGAUUUCAUUAUUAAAGGGGAAUUGCACUUUAUAACACUUCUGCUUCUCAUGACUGAUAUUGUCCUUCUAAUGAAUGUGUCACCCUUCAUUUUUCGAUUAGUUAUUUCAUUUUAAAUGCCUAACGUUAGAAACAAAGACCUUUUUCUUUUUAGCGCAAGUCCACAUAGUAGUAUGGUUUCCGGUUUUUUCUUCUUCUUUGAUUUCGUUUAGUGGAAACUCGAGAAGAAGCAAAGCAAAACAUUCUGUUAACGUAGCGUUGAAAUCAAACAAACUAACGUCUGCUAGCUUUUGUUUGAUGCAAUAUCGGUGUAAUAAUGAGGUGCAUUGUGCCUGGUUGUUAUAAUGCCCCCAUUCAACUUGACCUGAAAGCACAUUUUCAUAGUUUUCCACCCGAUGCAACUUUGUAUAACAAUUCCAUGAUCAAAAACAAAAUCUCCUUUGUCCUCAGACAUUUUCGGUUUCGCUAGCUAGUAGAAAUGCAACACUAGGUCUACGACCAACCUAAUGUUAUUGUCUGCAGGUAUGCCCACAUCAGAAGUCGUGCAAUGAUAUUCAUCCUAACAUAACAUAAUGAAAUAACUAGUCGAAAAAUGGAAGGGCGACACAUUCAUUAGAAGGACAUUAUCAGUCAUGAGCAGAAGUGUUAUAAAGUGCAAUUCCCCUUUAAAAAAUCUAAUUAAAUACGCUUUGCCAGCAUACUCAUAUUUUUCAUGUGAUUUCAGUGACGCAUGGUUUCAAUCACAUGCCGAAUGCAUGCACCAACUUGAAUAUCUGAGCUUAUGAAUGUUCAUUAUUUGUCCAAAAGAACAUACUGUAUGCUGAAUAAUUUAUGAGCCAAAUACUGUAUUUGUACUUGUUUUCCUUUUUUUUUUGUUAUGUAUACGAGAUGAAUUUUCAUUGGCUAUAUAUGUUUUCAUGCUUACAAAAAAUUUAUAAAUUACAUAUUCAUAUUUGGAUGAAAUAAAUUUCAGCAACAAGGUCAGGUCCAUUUUUUAAUGCAUGUAAUAUAUGCACUGUAACAUGAUUUCAGUAAAACUUUCAUUUUAAUUCAUAGUAUCUUUCAAACCAAAUUCUCUCUGAAGAUUUCGUUUAGGAUGGUGUAAGAAUAAUUGUUUAGUGUUGGGUACACUUACACUGAUCAACAUGCAUUUGUCUCAUUUAACAUAUUAAAUAAAUUGCAUUUAUGUUAAAAAGCUUGCAUUGUACUUUUGUGUGUUUCAAUUUGCAAUGGCAUUCUGGAUUGCUGUACAAUUUUAGAAUUCUGGAAAAAAAAAGCAUUCCCAGAAAAACCUGCUCUUCAAAGGGUCGAUGACUACAGUGAGCUCCAAGCGGCAUAUUUAACACACUGACCAGUGGGUCAUUAAGAAAAAUAACAAUAUAGAUUUUCUUUUUUAGUGACAACCUGUAAAAAAAAAAAAAAAAAAAAGACUCUAAUACUCCAAAAUAAUACACUAUUAGACAUUUAUCUGACUAGCUGCCUGCUUUGACGGAUCAAUUUAGUAAUAUCUUCCUCUAGGAAGACACCUGGAUGAAUUAUUAAAGAUGUUCUCCAAUAAAAUCUCAAUAAGUAACAGGUUCAAACAUUUUCAGCGCCACCUGUUUCUUACUCACUUCUCACGUGCGUAUUGUACCGGUCCUUCCUUCCCACACACCUGUGUCUGCUGUCUUCACACACACACACACACACACACACACACACA
Anguilla anguilla (European eel) is the source of this 2199-nucleotide long non-coding RNA. RefSeq lists it as uncharacterized. The record is from RefSeq and is a predicted model, not a curated record. The transcript has 2 exons. NCBI's taxonomy places the organism in Eukaryota, Metazoa, Chordata, Actinopteri, Anguilliformes, Anguillidae.